GUAAAUGGCUGCAUAAAUCUGAGUGUACUAAGGUAGCGCUACAAUUUGCCCUUUAAAUGGGGGCUGGUAUGAAUGGGUUCACGUGAGAGUUGCUGUGUCACAAAAAUUUAUUGAAAUUAACUUUUAGGUGAAGAGGCCUAGCUGAGUUUAAAGGACGACAAGACCCUAGAAGCUUAACUAAGAAUGUUUUAUAAUAUAGGGUAUUUGAGUUUUGUUGGGGCAACACAGUUAGUAAAUAUAACUUGCUUUUAUACACUUACCGGUUUAAACCACAUUGGUGAAUAAGAUAAGCUACUCUAGGGAUAACAGCGUUAUUUUUUUUAAUAGUACGUAUUGUAAAAGAAGUUUGCGACCUCGAUGUUGGACUAAGGUGUCCUUAAGGUGCAGAAGCCUUAAAGGGUUGGCCUGUUCGUCCAUUAAAACCUUACA
RNAcentral lists this ribosomal RNA (429 nucleotides) under Adipicola longissima. RNAcentral describes it as "partial 16S ribosomal RNA". It matches the Rfam family "Bacterial large subunit ribosomal RNA", at positions 1923 to 2600 of the family's 2925-position model. The record is from RNAcentral. Lineage: Eukaryota; Metazoa; Mollusca; Bivalvia; Mytilida; Modiolidae.